This 524-nucleotide long non-coding RNA is filed under the name Homo sapiens (human). Its description in RNAcentral is "novel transcript". Lineage: Eukaryota; Metazoa; Chordata; Mammalia; Primates; Hominidae. The record is from RNAcentral.
AGUUUAGGCUCCUAGGAGACUUGAUUCUGGCUGACGUGCUGCGACUGUCAUCUUUCAGAUCAGAGUAACUCUGAGUCUGGUGGGAGUGUCUUCCCCCGACACCCCGUAUACCUCCGCUUUAAGAUGAGAGAAUCUUCUGUCGGUGCUAGCGUUCAGCGGCUAACGGAGGAGGCUUGACUCAACCUGCCGGACACUAAAGGACAUCACUCUGAGCCUGAGGGAGGGGCUCUCCUUUGGUCUCCCUCUUUUGUCCAGCCUUGCCCCAGGAUAUUUUUCUAAGCUGAGUUAGCCACUAGGCACUCCACAUCGCUGCCCGCAUCACCACGCUGCGGCAUCUGCUGUUGCAUCUGCGAUCCACAAGGCCUACACCAUUCGCCAUCGCACCUGGCUGUUUGUUGCAGAUAUUUCUCAGAUUCUCACUCUGUCAUCCAGGCUGGAGUGCAGUGACAUGAUCUUCACUUACUGCAACCUCUGCCUCCCGGGUUCAAGUGAUUCUCCUGCCUUAGCCUCCAGAGUAGCUGGGA